UCAAGAGUACGUGAAACUGCUUAGAGGUUAAGCCCGAUGAACCUGAAUAUCCAUUAUGGAAAAUUCAUCAUUAUGAUUUUAAUAUUAAUAAUAUUAUAAUAAUGGUGUGCAUUUUUUCCAUAAAGGACAUUGUAAUCUAUUAACAUAAAUAUAUUUAUCAUAAGAUCGUUUACAAAAGUUUAUUUGAAUUAUUUUGCUUGCAAUUUAACAGAGAAUAAAUGUAUUCGAUUUGAUAAAGUGUUGAUAGAUUUAUAUUAUAUAGUGCUUAAAUAUUUAUAUUUUAUAAUAGCAUAUUAAUCAUUGAUUUUUAUGUUUAUUAUAUGCACUUAUAUGAUUAACAAUGCGAAAGAUUCAGGAUACCUUCGGGACCCGUCUUGAAACACGGACCAAGGAGUCUAACAUAUUUGCAAGUUAUUGGGAAUAAAAACCUAAUAGCGAAAUUAACAUAACUUAAUAAUGGGAUUAGUUUUUAGCCUAUUUAUAGUCUAUUAAUUCAAUCCCGGGGCGUUCUAUACAGUUAUGUAUAAUAGUAUUUAUACUAUUUAUACCUCUAACUAGAGCGUACCUUGAGCAUAUAUGCUGUGACCCGAAA
Molecule: ribosomal RNA, 592 nt
Filed under: Stomorhina lunata
Lineage: Eukaryota; Metazoa; Arthropoda; Insecta; Diptera; Rhiniidae
Description: eukaryotic LSU rRNA
Rfam family: Eukaryotic large subunit ribosomal RNA
Source: RNAcentral